Molecule: non-coding RNA, 64 nt
Filed under: Andreprevotia lacus
Lineage: Bacteria; Pseudomonadati; Pseudomonadota; Betaproteobacteria; Neisseriales; Chitinibacteraceae
Also listed under: 1 other name
Description: Fluoride sequence
Rfam family: Fluoride riboswitch aptamer (crcB RNA motif)
Source: RNAcentral
GCAGGGUACGGAGAUGGCAUUCCUCCCCAAACCGCCCUGACCGGCUGAUGAUGCCUGCACACGU